Molecule: ribosomal RNA, 409 nt
Filed under: uncultured bacterium
Lineage: Bacteria
Description: bacterial SSU rRNA
Rfam family: Bacterial small subunit ribosomal RNA
Source: RNAcentral
AAUGGGCGCAAGCCUGAUCCAGCCACGCCGCGUGAGUGAUGAAGGCCUUCGGGUCGUAAAGCUCUGUGGGGAGGGACGAACCGCUGAUGGUUAAUACCCAGCAGCAUGACGGUACCUCCUUAGCAAGCACCGGCUAACUUCGUGCCAGCAGCCGCGGUAAUACGAAGGGUNCAAACGUUGCUCGGAAUUAUUGGGCGUAAAGCGCACGUAGGCGGCCUGUCAAGUCGGAUGUGAAAUCCCUCGGCUCAACCAAGGAAGUGCAUCCGAAACUGUCAGGCUUGAGUACCAAAGAGGAUCGCGGAAUUCUCGGUGUAGAGGUGAAAUUCGUAGAUAUCGGGAGGAACACCAGUGGCGAAGGCGGCGAUCUGGGUGGAUACUGACGCUGAGGUGCGAAAGCGUGGGGAGCAAA